RNAcentral lists this ribosomal RNA (497 nucleotides) under uncultured bacterium. RNAcentral describes it as "partial 16S ribosomal RNA". It matches the Rfam family "Bacterial small subunit ribosomal RNA", at positions 28 to 507 of the family's 1533-position model. The record is from RNAcentral.
GAUGAACGCUGGCGGCGUGCCUAAUACAUGCAAGUCGAGCGAACAGACGAGGAGCUUGCUUCUCUGAUGUUAGCGGCGGACGGGUGAGUAACACGUGGAUAACCUCCCUAUAAGACUGGGAUAACUUCGGGAAACCGUAGCUAAUACCGGAUAAUAUUUUGAACCGCAUGGUUCAAAAGUGAAAGACGGUCUUGCUGUCACUUAUAGAUGGAUCCGCGCUGCAUUAGCUAGUUGGUAAGGUAACGGCUUACCAAGGCAACGAUGCAUAGCCGACCUGAGAGGGUGAUCGGCCACACGGGAACUGAGACAGGGUCCAGACUCCUAAGGGAGGCAGCAGUAGGGAAUCUGCCGCAAUGGGCGAAAGCCUGACGGAGCGACGCCGCGUGAGUGAUGAAGGUCCUCGGAUCGUAAAACUCUGUUAUUAGGGAAGAACAUAUGUGGAAGGAACUGUGCACAUCGUGACGGUACCUAAUCAGAAAGCCACGGCUAACUACGUG